UCUCCGUAGGUGAACCUGCGGAGGGAUCAUUACCGAGUGAGGGCUCACGCCCGACCUCCAACCCUUUGUAAUCCAUACCAUGUUGCCUCGGGGGCGACCCGGCCCUGUUGGGUGUCGGGGCCCCCGGCGGCGCACACCCAACCCUGCAUCGUUGCGUCCGAGUACAGAUUUGAAUCAAUCAAAACUUUCAACAACGGAUCUCUUGGUUCUGGCAUCGAUGAAGAACGCAGC
Molecule: unclassified non-coding RNA, 231 nt
Filed under: uncultured fungus
Lineage: Eukaryota; Fungi
Description: sequence contains ITS1, 5.8S rRNA gene
Rfam family: 5.8S ribosomal RNA (bases 183-231)
Source: RNAcentral